Molecule: long non-coding RNA, 1550 nt
Organism: Brienomyrus brachyistius
Lineage: Eukaryota; Metazoa; Chordata; Actinopteri; Osteoglossiformes; Mormyridae
Exons: 2
Source: RefSeq, a predicted model, not a curated record
UAGCAUAUGGAUUUAAUUAUUUAUUUAAAUAUUUUUUUUUGUCUUCUUCCCCGGGGGGUUGGUUGUGUAACUGCUGCAAUGGUAUUUGUAUUUAAUUAUUUAUUUAUUAUUUUAAAUGAUUGUGGCUUAGGGGGCCUGGGUUGGUUGUGUUAGUGCUGCAAUGGUAUUUGGAUUUAAUUAUUUAUUAUUUUAAAUGCUUAUUUUAAAUGUUUAUUAUUUUAAAAUGAUAUUGAGGAGAGUGCUUAUGAGUGUGUAUUAUUUUAAAAAUGAUAUUGAUGAGAGUGCUUAUGAGCGUGUGUUAUUUGAAUAAGUUAUUAUUAUUAUUAUUUUGUGGUGCGCGGGCGGGAGUGAGCGGGGGGGUGGGUUACCUGAUGGAGCGCGAGCGUACGGUGUGCGGUAGCGUGGUAAGGUCCCCGGGCUUCGGAGAAUCAGCAAAGGACUUAUUCACAUACUGGUGCGGUAGCGCGGAAAGGUCCGCACGGCUUUGGAUAAUCCUCGGAGAGAGCGAUGCGGGAGAGCUGAGAGGCGUGCUGCUGCGCGAGUCUGAGAGAAACUGUGAGAGACUGUGGGAUAAAAUGGUAAAGUUGGAGCAAAGAAUGAGAGGAGGAGGUGCAGGGUCUAUCGUCCAAUAAAAACGCUCGGCGCUAGUUUUGACCGUGUGUUUUUUCCUCACGCAAGCGUUUGUAUCACAUCGGCGUAUGGCGCCAAUUUGUAAAGGUCAUAAGUCGAGACAUACAUCGAGUCUGUCAAUUUGUCCGCCAGUAAAUUCUGCAGGGCCGUGCCACCUGGCCAUCGAGGCGCCCCCCUACCCGGCCACGCGGGCCAUACAUCGAGUCUGACACUUUUGCCCUCCAGUAAAUUCUGUUUAAAGUUUUGUUUUCACAUACGUCCCAAAUUACAGAUAAUUUUCUUACACAGGCACGAGUAGCAUCAUCAAGGCCGUACCACCUGGUCAUACAUCAAGUCUGACAAUUUCCCCGCCAGUAAAUUCUGUUUAUAGUUUUGUUUGUCAUACAUGACCGUGCAGAUAUGGGGUGACAGAGACAAUUAAAUUGUAUUGCGGCGAGCGGGGGGGCCUAUUCCUCCUAGGGCAGAGGCACAAGUAUCUUCGAGGUCUUACCCUUCCUGCCAGCCAAAGAGGUUCAUCCAGGCCUUACCCGAGAGAGAGACUGCGCUGACCGGUCAAGAGAAAAUCUACAAGAGACCUGAAUCAGCAGUGUUAUAAAGCACAUAGCCAACGCUAAUUAAUAAAGAAUUUAAGCAUAAUAGCCCAGACGUACCAUGGCCUAUAGCUGGUAGAAACGGAGCUAUCCUACGGCCUACAAGAUAAAAGCAUAUGGCACCAAAUUGGAAUCAGUAGUCUUUAAAAGAAUAAAUGGACUAGCAACUGUCUCUGGGGGAGCAGCCCCGGUUAGGUACUAUUAAGCAGCAUAGCAACUGUCUCUGGGGGAGCAGCCCCGGUUAGGUACUAUUAAGCAGCAUUUAGUGACAUGCAUCAAAACACAUUUUUUAAAACUUUGACAGAAUAAAGUCUUAGUUAUUUUAAUAAA